GAUGAACGCUAGCGGCAGGCCUAAUACAUGCAAGUCGAACGGAUAUAUGUUUUCGGAAUAUAUAUUAGUGGCGCACGGGUGAGUAACACGUACAUAACUUGCCCUCAAGCGGGGGAUAGCCUUGGGAAACUGAGAGUAAUACCCCAUAGAAUUAUUGGACGGCAUCGUUUGAUAAUUAAACCUACGGUGUUUGGGGAUAGAUGUGCGUCUGAUUAGCUAGUUGGUGAGGUAACUGCUCACCAAGGCGACGAUCAGUAGGGGGCGUGAGAGCGUGGCCCCCCACACGGGUACUGAGACACGGACCAGACUCCUACGGGAGGCAGCAGUGGGGAAUAUUGGGCAAUGGGCGGAAGCCUGACCCAGCCACACCGCGUGAGUGAUGAAGGCCUUCGGUUGUAAGACUCUGU
RNAcentral lists this ribosomal RNA (407 nucleotides) under uncultured bacterium. RNAcentral describes it as "bacterial SSU rRNA". It matches the Rfam family "Bacterial small subunit ribosomal RNA", at positions 28 to 436 of the family's 1533-position model. The record is from RNAcentral.